Molecule: long non-coding RNA, 358 nt
Filed under: Zostera marina
Lineage: Eukaryota; Viridiplantae; Streptophyta; Magnoliopsida; Alismatales; Zosteraceae
Description: long non-coding RNA (ZMAR_LNC002675)
Source: RNAcentral
UUGUUGGUUUAGCUCUGCAGCUGCUUCUCUCUAAAACUCGUUUCUUGAUUUUUUUUUUCUGACUCGAUCUUUUACACUGUGCUUGUAUCUCUGUAUUGGGUUUCUGUCAUUCUUUUCUGUGAGAUGAUGAUUUCGUCUUAUUAUCUGGUUCUUGCCCCUUUUCUUAACCAAGGCUCGUCUCUUUCUGUCUUCUCAUCUUGUAGAAAUGUUUAAUUUAUUUCUAACGAUCUGUAUUUUUUCUUAUUCUUGAUUUAGGAUCAGUGUGACUGUUUGAAAGCUACAGAGGAGGAAUCUAGAGAGAGUUUGGAAAGAAUCCAGAAAUCAAAUAAGGUUUCUCUCAGAGUCUCAGGAAUCGAAG